RNAcentral lists this ribosomal RNA (467 nucleotides) under uncultured bacterium. RNAcentral describes it as "partial 16S ribosomal RNA". It matches the Rfam family "Bacterial small subunit ribosomal RNA", at positions 28 to 506 of the family's 1533-position model. The record is from RNAcentral.
GACGAACGCUGGCGGCGUGCUUAACACAUGCAAGUCGAACGGAAAGGCCCUGCUUUUGUGGGGUGCUCGAGUGGCGAACGGGUGAGUAACACGUGAGUAACCUGCCCUUGACUUUGGGAUAACUUCAGGAAACUGGGGCUAAUACCGGAUAGGAGCUCCUGCUGCAUGGUGGGGGUUGGAAAGUUUCGGCGGUUGGGGAUGGACUCGCGGCUUAUCAGCUUGUUGGUGGGGUAGUGGCUUACCAAGGCUUUGACGGGUAGCCGGCCUGAGAGGGUGACCGGCCACAUUGGGACUGAGAUACGGCCCAGACUCCUACGGGAGGCAGCAGUGGGGAAUAUUGCACAAUGGGCGGAAGCCUGAUGCAGCAACGCCGCGUGCGGGAUGACGGCCCUCGGGUGGUAAACCGCUUUCGCCUGUGACGAAGCGUGAGUGACGGUAAUGGGGAAAGAAGCACCGGCUAACUACGU